AGCAGUAGCCACGGGAAUACGAAGGGGGCUAGCGUUGUUCGGAAUUACUGGGCGUAAAGGGCGCGUAGGCGGCCAUUCAAGUUAGAUGUGAAAGCCCUGGGCUCAACCUAGGAAUUGCAUUUGAUACUGUUUGGCUUGAGUUCGGGAGAGGUGAGUGGAAUUCCCAGUGUAGAGGUGAAAUUCGUAGAUAUUCGCAGGAACACCAGUGGCGAAGGCGGCUAACUGGUCCAUAACUGACGCUGAGGUGCGAAAGCGUGGGGAGCAAACAGGAUUAGAUACCCCUGUAGUCCCUGUCUCUUAUAA
This 303-nucleotide ribosomal RNA is filed under the name uncultured bacterium. RNAcentral's name for it is "partial 16S ribosomal RNA". It matches the Rfam family "Bacterial small subunit ribosomal RNA", at positions 507 to 809 of the family's 1533-position model. The record is from RNAcentral.